This 1855-nucleotide long non-coding RNA is filed under the name Arabidopsis thaliana (thale cress). Its description in RNAcentral is "long non-coding RNA (ATHA_LNC000398)". Lineage: Eukaryota; Viridiplantae; Streptophyta; Magnoliopsida; Brassicales; Brassicaceae. The record is from RNAcentral.
ACAUGCUUAUGGUUGUACACGAAGUAGCUAUCUGUUUUAGCCGCCUCUUCUAACAAUGAGUUCCAUCAGUUCGAUUGGUAAUCAAAGAAGCGGUUCAACCUCCGCUCCAAGCGCCUCAAAUUGUGUUACCAAUCAAAGCCAAUAAACAUCAUCUUGUAUGAACCAAGACCGAAAACUGCUAUUAAACUUCAUUCCGUACAAAACCAAGUAUCUUAAAUUGGACUGAUGUUGGUUUAGGUUCCGUUCUUGUGGUUCCUGUUUACUCUCCUAAAAAUUUGAACAGAUUUGAGCAUGCUGAUCAAGUGAAGUAAACUACCUACACUUGGUCAACCGUCUACUAGUAAAAUUAUAGACUCACUUUAUUAACUUUCCCAUGAUUGAAGGAAGACGAGCAAACACACAUGAUCACUAGUUCCAUAGCAUUUACAAGUAUAUAAUUCCACAAAAUGUAUAGUAGUACCAUUACUAGACCUUAAAACAAGCAAGCUCACCAUUUAAACUAUGCUAUUAAGUUCAUGUUUGUUAAAGCAUCAGCCUAGAGAGUGGUAUCAUAUUAUUAGUAGUGCUACCAUCAUCACAAAUUCUAUAUAAGAACAUUGUAGAGAAACAGUAUUUUCUCAUAUUUUAACAGCCCCUCUUGUGUGAGGAAUAUAAGAAAGAUAACAAGUCUUGAUCUUGAAAAAGAACAAGAUUCUCCUUUUCUUACCUAAUUUGAAAAUGGAAUCAUGAUACCAUUUGAAGUUUUGCUCCAAGGAAUUUUAAAACCCACGAGCUAAGGAAUCCUUUCACUUCACAAGAUUCCCUCACCUUUUCUCUGUGCUGCCAAAGGUGAGGGAAAAAAAGAGAGGACACAGGAAGACCAAUGACUUAUAACAAAAGUGUCUUUUACAACAAGAAAGUUUAAGGAGUGAAUUUGAUUCUUCUUGAACAGCCAGUUUCAUAAAUAGUAAUACGAAAAGAACAAGAAGUAUAGCAUGGCUCUCUAGAAGGUUAUUAAUCAGUGAAUAUCACCACUUGGAUCCUGAUUAAAGGGUUAUCAUCACGCACUCAUUGCGCAAUGUAUCAAAGUUUUUGAUUGUAUUAUACUAUUCUACGUGGAUUCCUUAUCACUUGCCAAGAAUGAACAUAGUAAUGCAAAAGCAAAGGUUUUAGAAUUAUGCAAUGUCUAUGUAGGUAAUACUUAAAAGAGCCAGAGAAGUAAGCAAAAGCACACAUUGCAUCAAGAAACCAAGAGAUCACAGCAAAUUUCAUAUCAGGAACUCAUAACAACAUAGCCAUGCUCAGGAACAAAAUUAGCGUUGAGGGUCUGUAGUGACAAAAGACAUAGCCAGGAAAAAAACCGAUCUACUAAUCUGCAAAGCUGAAGAAGUACAAGUUGGAUUCAGUGGCUCAACAAACAAAAACAAAAAUGCUAGAUGAAGAAAGACCAUAUGGAACACAAACCUUGAUACAUACAUGUAAACCAAAAGUAAAACUGCAUCAUCAGAAUUCAGGACCAUUGUUAAAAAACAGAUCAAUAAAAAAAAAAAGUUAAGACAAAACUGAAGUUGUAAGAUUUAAGAAUAUGAGUCAAUUAUGAAGACAUGACUACAAACAAAAACACAUAUGAUAAUUGAUCUGUUACCCAAAACAAUAACAAACAAACAAUUUCAUUUUAUCCUUUUUUCAUAUACAAGAAUUUUGUUUUCCCUCACUAUCUCAACAGCUAAAAGAUGAAUACUUUGAAUUAGAUUUGGGAUAAAUUUUAAAUAUUUAGUUUCAGCAGCUGAGAAGACUUUAUCGAAUCCAUUGUCCUGCUUCUCAGCAAUACUCAAAUAGAUAUCAAUUAAACAAAAGUCAUGAAGAGCAAGCAGCG